This 268-nucleotide small nuclear RNA is filed under the name Castor canadensis (American beaver). Its description in RNAcentral is "7SK RNA (ENSCCNG00000026635.1)". It matches the Rfam family "7SK RNA", at positions 1 to 282 of the family's 331-position model. From Rfam's summary of the family: 7SK was discovered as an abundant small nuclear RNA in the mid-70s but a possible function has only recently been suggested. Two independent studies have found that 7SK RNA binds the CDK9/cyclin T complex (known as elongation factor P-TEFb). P-TEFb activates transcription by phosphorylating the C-terminal domain of RNA polymerase II. Lineage: Eukaryota; Metazoa; Chordata; Mammalia; Rodentia; Castoridae. The record is from RNAcentral.
GGAUGUGAGGGCAAUCUGACUGCGACAUCUGUUACCCCAUUGAUCACCAGGGUUGAUUUGGCUGAUCUGGCUGGCUAGGCAGGUGUCCCCUUCCUCCCUCACCGCUCCAUGUGUGUCCCUCCCGAAGCCGCACGUGGUCGAAAAGGAUGACCAUCCCUGAUAGAGGAGGACCAUUCUUCGGUCAAGGGUAUACGAGUAGCUGCGCUCCCCUGCUAGAACCUCCAAACAAGCUCUCAAGAAAAGAGCAAGAAUGAAAAUCACUUUUGUC